This 120-nucleotide ribosomal RNA is filed under the name Vibrio cholerae. RNAcentral's name for it is "partial 16S ribosomal RNA". It matches the Rfam family "Bacterial small subunit ribosomal RNA", at positions 1 to 111 of the family's 1533-position model. Lineage: Bacteria; Pseudomonadati; Pseudomonadota; Gammaproteobacteria; Vibrionales; Vibrionaceae. The record is from RNAcentral.
UUUAAUUGAAGAGUUUGAUCAUGGCUCAGAUUGAACGCUGGCGGCAGGCCUAACACAUGCAAGUCGAGCGGCAGCACAGAGGAACUUGUUCCUUGGGUGGCGAGCGGCGGACGGGUGAGU